AUUUUAAAAUUUAAUAGCCAAAAAAAAACUAUAUUACGUAUUAUUUUAGAUUUCAUUACAUUAUUCUGCAUUGUUUUAGACAUGAAUGGUAAAAUUGUAAAAAUAGACUACUUUGAAGUUUUUUUCCCACAAAAUCAUAAAUAUUUUAAGGGUGAAUUAGCUCAAUAACCAUAUUCCAUAAAAAUAUUAAGUAACUAACACCAUAAACGAAGGAAUUGAGAGAGUGACGCUACGGGUAUGUGAAGUUACAACCCACUCCCUAAGCCACGUUUCUGUGAUUUCUUGUACGUGUGUGAGGGUAAGAGCGAGCUUCUUUCUUCCAGCUGACGUGUCUCCUUUCGAAACCAGUAAAAAAAUUAUCCUAGCACCGCUUGAGAAUUGUCCCAUCAGUAACAUAACCUGCAGAUUAUUACAUUAAUUUGAAUAAAAUACUCCCCCCAAAAAAUCAGAGCAGAAGAUGCUCUGUUUUCUAUUUAUUGCCAAUAAAUGCUAUACCUUUUACGCAGAGAUCUAACCUGCAAAACAGAACAAUAUGGAUGAUGGUGAAAAUAGUUCAGCAGUAAAUACAGGGAAUCAAAAGGGAAAGAUACAAAACCA
This 597-nucleotide small RNA is filed under the name Arabidopsis thaliana (thale cress). RNAcentral's name for it is "ATSL169090". The record is from RNAcentral. Lineage: Eukaryota; Viridiplantae; Streptophyta; Magnoliopsida; Brassicales; Brassicaceae.